UAUUAAAUAACCUAAGAAAGGUUUUGGAUUUUUAAUCCAACUAUAAUGAUAACAUUUUUAAUGA
This 64-nucleotide transfer RNA is filed under the name Endeis sp. JZ-2022. Its description in RNAcentral is "tRNA-Lys". Lineage: Eukaryota; Metazoa; Arthropoda; Pycnogonida; Pantopoda; Endeidae. The record is from RNAcentral.